GACGAACGUUGGCGGCGUGCCUAAUACAUGCAAGUAGAACGCUGAAGGAGGAGCUUGCUUCUCUGGAUGAGUUGCGAACGGGUGAGUAACGCGUAGGUAACCUGCCUGGUAGCGGGGGAUAACUAUUGGAAACGAUAGCUAAUACCGCAUAAUAGCAGUUAUUGCAUGGUAACUGUUUAAAAGGUGCAAUUGCAUCACUACCAGAUGGACCUGCGUUGUAUUAGCUAGUUGGUGGGGUAAAGGCUCACCAAGGCGACGAUACAUAGCCGACCUGAGAGGGUGAUCGGCCACACUGGGACUGAGACACGGCCCAGACUCCUACGGGAGGCAGCAGUAGGGAAUCUUCGGCAAUGGACGGAAGUCUGACCGAGCAACGCCGCGUGAGUGAAGAAGGUUUUCGGAUCGUAAAGCUCUGUUGUAAGAGAAGAACGAUGUGCGAGAGUGGAUUUUUUCACACCU
RNAcentral lists this ribosomal RNA (459 nucleotides) under Streptococcus mitis. RNAcentral describes it as "bacterial SSU rRNA". It matches the Rfam family "Bacterial small subunit ribosomal RNA", at positions 28 to 470 of the family's 1533-position model. Lineage: Bacteria; Bacillati; Bacillota; Bacilli; Lactobacillales; Streptococcaceae. The record is from RNAcentral.